CUUAUACUUCUUCCGUCCGAAAACUUGUCCUAAAAAUGAAUAUAAUGAAUGUAUCUACAACUAAAAUAAGUCUAGAUUCAUUCAUUUCUAAGACAAUUAUUUUUGGACGGAGGGAGUAUGCU
This is a non-coding RNA of Hordeum vulgare subsp. vulgare (domesticated barley), 122 nucleotides long. NCBI's taxonomy places the organism in Eukaryota, Viridiplantae, Streptophyta, Magnoliopsida, Poales, Poaceae. The record is from Rfam.